AUAGCAAAUCCACCAGUUUUGAAUUUUUACAAAAUCGGACUGUCUUUUUCGAUUUUACAUAUUCUGUCCGAAUUUUCAACAAACUGAUUAAAAUACCCUUCGACCUUUUUCAUAAUUUUGUAUUAGAAUUUUUGUAUGGACAACAUACGAAAGUUAAACUUUAUAGAAAUAUAUUUGCAAUUCAUUAUAUUUGUAGAGAUCUGUAUAAAAUUAACCCUUUAAUAUUAUACAUUCGACGCUUCUCUUAACGACUCAAUUUGAGGCAUUUUGAU
Molecule: long non-coding RNA, 272 nt
Filed under: Ananas comosus (pineapple)
Lineage: Eukaryota; Viridiplantae; Streptophyta; Magnoliopsida; Poales; Bromeliaceae
Description: long non-coding RNA (ACOM_LNC000521)
Source: RNAcentral